RNAcentral lists this ribosomal RNA (442 nucleotides) under uncultured bacterium. RNAcentral describes it as "partial 16S ribosomal RNA". It matches the Rfam family "Bacterial small subunit ribosomal RNA", at positions 338 to 795 of the family's 1533-position model. The record is from RNAcentral.
CCUACGGGUGGCAGCAGUGGGGGAUAUUGCACAAUGGGGGAAACCCUGAUGCAGCGACGCCGCGUGGGCGAAGAAGUAUUUCGGUAUGUAAAGCCCUAUCAGCAGGGAAGAAGGAAUGACGGUACCUUAAUAAGAAGCACCGGCUAAAUACGUGCCAGCAGCCGCGGUAAUACGGAUGGUGCAAGCGUUAUCCGGAUUUACGGGGGGGAAAGGGAGCGCAGGCGGCAAGGCAAGUCUGAUGGGAAAGCCCGGGGCCCAACCGCGGGACUGCAUUGGGAACUAACGGGCUGGAGUGCAGGAGAGGUAAGUGGAAUUCCUAGUGUAGCGGUGAAAUGCGUAGAUAUUAGGAGGAACACCAGUGGCGAAGGCGGCUUACUGGACGGUGACUGACGCUGAGGCUCGAAAGCGUGGGGAGCAAACAGGAUUAGAUACCCCAGUAGUC